CCUACGGGCGGCAGCAGUGGGGAAUAUUGGGCAAUGGGCGCAAGCCUGACCCAGCAACGCCGCGUGAAGGAAGAAGGCUUUCGGGUUGUAAACUUCUUUUCUCAGGGACGAAGAAAGUGACGGUACCGGAGGAAUAAGCCACGCCUAACUACGUGCCAGCAGCCGCGGUAAUACGGAGGGCGCGAGCGUUACUCGGAAUUACUGGGCGUAAAGGGCUCGUAGGGGGUAUGUCAAGUCAAGGGUGAAAUCCCCGCGCCCAACGUGGGAACUGGCUUUGAACCUGGCAAACUGGAGUGUGUGGGAGGGUAGUGGAAUUCCGGGUGUAGGAGUGAAAUCCGUAGAUAUCUGGAGGAACAUCAGUGGCGAAGGCGACUAUCUGGCACAUAACUGACGCUGAGGAGCGAAAGCGUGGGUAACAAACAGGAUUAGAUACCCCAGUAGUC
RNAcentral lists this ribosomal RNA (443 nucleotides) under uncultured bacterium. RNAcentral describes it as "partial 16S ribosomal RNA". It matches the Rfam family "Bacterial small subunit ribosomal RNA", at positions 338 to 795 of the family's 1533-position model. The record is from RNAcentral.